This 328-nucleotide ribosomal RNA is filed under the name uncultured eukaryote. Its description in RNAcentral is "partial 18S ribosomal RNA". It matches the Rfam family "Eukaryotic small subunit ribosomal RNA", at positions 1470 to 1796 of the family's 1831-position model. The record is from RNAcentral.
CCCUUAGAUGUUCUGGGCUGCACGCGCGCUACACUGAUGCGCUCAACGAGUUUUAACCUUGCCUGGAAAGGUUGGGUAAUCUUUUUAAAACGCAUCGUGAUGGGGAUAGAUUAUUGCAAUUAUUAAUCUUCAACGAGGAAUGCCUAGUAAGCGCAAGUCAUCAGCUUGCGUUGAUUACGUCCCUGCCCUUUGUACACACCGCCCGUCGCUCCUACCGAUUGAAUGGUCCGGUGAAGCGUUUGGACUAUGGUUUUCUGACGGUUCGCCAUUGGAUUACCGUGGGAAAUUCGUUAAACCUUAUCAUUUAGAGGAAGGAGAAGUCGUAACA